GCACAUAAUACAUCUUUCUUGCCGUAGAAAACCUGCAGGAAAUCAGAACCGUGUGCCGCUGCCUGGAGAGCAGCCUCGCUGCCUGACUUCCAGCUGUGAACGGCAGCUGCUCUGAGGAGGCCCCUGGAGUGGUGGAGUAGUAGUGUUCCUCUACCAUUGAGAGCUUUAGUUUCCUGUCAUCUGAAAACAUUUUACAUCUGGACUUUUAUCCCCCAGACCUGGACAGUUUAGCGAGUAGGUCUUUAGCACUGCUUUAUAAUUCCUGUUUGGGCAGGACCUUUCACUUACGGAAAGACAGACUCGACCUUUGUGAGGUAACGGUAACCGUUUGCCCUAGGAUUUUUUUUUUUUUUUUGGUAGCAAAGUUUUUUAUUUCCAUACUGAACAAAUGGAGAUAAUCAUGCUUUGUUAAGUAGGGGUUACAUGAAGGAAAAACUGCAGAGGCUGCUGUGUGAAGGAUGAGUGUGUUUACAUCUGUCAGUCAACAGUUGGCCUACCAUAGGGCUCUCCUGGUCCUGGUGACCAAAAGCCUUUGCUAAAUAAAGAACACUGCAGGAGAAAUAUUUUUUAGUUGACUACUGAAUCGAAGAGGUGAGGCGCCAGAGUUCGAAUCUUUAUAUUGAGGUGAGUUUGUUAAAAAUCAACCAGCCAAACAACCCUUUACCUGAGGUUUUCCUAGUUGAUUUCCUUGAAAUUAGAAAAAAAAAAAGAUUUGUUUUCUUCCUUCCUGUUUCAUUGUUGUGAUGUUGGCGAUCAAACCCUUGUGUGUUCUGGGUGUCUUCCCCACACUGAGCUCCACUCCAGCUCAAAUCGAUGGCCUGUGCAUCUCUGUUUAUCUCCAUUCGGAUAAGAGGUGUAUGACAACAGUCCUCUACCUGUUUUUGUUUCUCCUGAGACUGAUAAAACCUCUUACCCUUUCCAAAGCAACAGCUGUCUCUAAGAGCCAACAGCUUUCUAGAAGGGAUCCCGUGCUUUCAGGUGGGCCCUGUGAAGGCCGCAUUCUCACUAAAGGAGGCUCUAAGUCGGUGCAGUGCCCAGUGCAUUCCCGAAUGCCCCUUCCUCCUGGAGGCAGAAGUAUGCAGGUUUUCCCUGAGAGUUGGGCACUUUGUCUGGCGUAGCAUUUCAACUUGACUUUUUUUUUUAUUUUUUAUUUAUUAAUGGUUCCUUUGAAAAACAGUUUGUGAAGCAGGAUUUUGUUUCUAAAUGUCCUCAGAGAGCAGAGCGAUUGGUGGCUUAAAGGCAAUUCCUUUGCACGCCAUUAGGUGGCAGUAGAGAGUCUGAGCGGCUGCGGGCCUGGCUCCUAGUAUUAUGAGUUAGAGACAUUUUUCCUUCUGACCUGAACAUUCCGUUGAAGUGAUAGACUCCAAAGCAUUCUCUCUUGAGUUGAAAGGAUUCAACUUUUUCAAACCACUUUUUAACAAAAACAUUUUUUUUAUUAAAAUUCUUUUCUUUAUCCUUCCUUCCUUCCUUCCUUCCUAAUUUUUUUCCUCCAAUUUUCCAAGACAGGGUUUCUCUGUGUAGUCCUGGCUCUCGCUCUGUAGAUCAUGCUGGCCCCCAGCUCAGAGAUCUCCCUGCCUCUGCUUCCUGAAUUCUGGAUGGAAUUUAAAGUGUGCACCACCACCAACUGGCCAAAACAAACAAACAAACAAACAAACAAACAGCCCCAAAGAACAACAAAACCACUUUACUUUUUUAAGUUUGAAGGUAAUUUCUAAAGUUUAAAUGGGUCCAUUUUGAAGCUCGUGUAAAGAGUGGCCAUCAGACAGUAUUAUCAAUUUAUUCAAAUUAUGUCUAUGUCUAAACCUGGAUAAAAGAAACCUAAAUUUCGCCGUAAAACAUCAGCAUAUUUCAAGGCAAAUUUGCAGUAUUUUAAGACAAGGGUAGUGUCAAUUUAUUAAGUGCCUUAUAGGACAGGGUCUUACCCUGCCUUCUUCUCUCUGGAGUUAAUACGGUUGUUGAUAUUUCUAACCCAGAGACAACUUAAAGCACUUGGUGAUGUGGGUGUGGCUGUAACACUUCACCACCUGUCAUUUUCCUCAAGUAUGGUGAGACCAUUUCAAGUUUUUGUGGCUGAGUCGAAGGAAAUUGUGUUUGUGUUGUUACUGCUGCUCUGUGUUGCUGGUCGGUAAUGUGAACAAUGGCUCCUGUUCUCUGUGUUUAUUUAUGAGCUAUAAAACUGUAUGUACCAUGUAAAGAGUAUACAUUUUCCACAAGCUUUUCUACUUCAAGCUCUUUAUACAUUGUUGGACUGUGUGGCAUAAACCUUGUUUCAUUUAAUAAAUGGAAAUAAUAUAUGAUAAUAUGGCU
Molecule: long non-coding RNA, 2307 nt
Filed under: Rattus norvegicus (Norway rat)
Lineage: Eukaryota; Metazoa; Chordata; Mammalia; Rodentia; Muridae
Description: long non-coding RNA NONRATT011091
Source: RNAcentral